GAUGGCCUGCUCGAAGGCGAUUUUGAGGGCGGACAUGAGGUGGGACGGGAGGCCGUUGGUGGUGUGGCGGUGCGGCGGCAGCUCCGGCGAGGAUGGGAGGGCGAGCUCCACCGGCUGGAUGGAUUUGGAGUAGGUGCCGGCGAUUCUGCCAUGGAUGGAGCUUAGAUUGACGGCUGUUGAACAGAAGUAGAUGUGGAAGCUUCUGUCUGCGAGUUUCAUGGCCAAUUCUAGGUAAGGGUUUACAUGGCCAUGGGCUAGCCAUGGAAACAUUAAGAUCUUCAUGGUCUCUUUUCCUUCUCUAUCGACCACUCAAUUGAAGAUGAUGAUUAUAUAUAUAUAGUAAGGUAAGGUUAUAACUAUAUAAUAAUUUGCAUUUGAAUUCAAUCAAUAUAAUUAAUAAAGUUACAUCAUUUGAUGUUA
Diospyros lotus (date-plum) is the source of this 420-nucleotide long non-coding RNA. RefSeq lists it as uncharacterized. The transcript is spliced from 2 exons. Lineage: Eukaryota; Viridiplantae; Streptophyta; Magnoliopsida; Ericales; Ebenaceae. The record is from RefSeq and is a predicted model, not a curated record.